RNAcentral lists this ribosomal RNA (703 nucleotides) under uncultured marine bacterium. RNAcentral's name for it is "bacterial SSU rRNA". It matches the Rfam family "Bacterial small subunit ribosomal RNA", at positions 76 to 756 of the family's 1533-position model. The record is from RNAcentral.
CUUGCUGAAGCUAGUACAGUGGCGCACGGGUGAGUAACGCGUGGGUAAUCUACCUCCGAAUUGGGGAUAACAUUGCGAAAGCGAUGCUAAUACCGAAUAAUAUCUUUAAAGCCUCGGUUUUUUAGAUCAAAGGUGGCCUCUACAUGUGAGCUUCUGUUUGGAGAUGAGCCCGCGUACCAUUAGCUUGUUGGUAGGGUAAUGGCCUACCAAGGCAACGAUGGUUAGCUGGUCUGAGAGGAUGAUCAGCCACACUGGAACUGACACACGGUCCAGACUCCUACGGGAGGCAGCAGUGAGGAAUUUUGCGCAAUGGGGGAAACCCUGACGCAGCAACGCCGCGUGAGUGAUGAAGGCUUUCGGGUCGUAAAGCUCUGUCAAGUGGGAAGAACCCACAUGGUGUUAAUAUCACUAUGUGUUGACGGUACCACUAAAGGAAGCACCGGCUAACUCCGUGCCAGCAGCCGCGGUAAUACGGGGGGUGCAAGCGUUAUUCGGAAUUACUGGGCGUAAAGGGCGCGCAGGCGGUCCUUUAAGUCAGAUGUGAAAGCCCGGGGCUCAACCCCGGAAGUGCAUUUGAAACUAAGGGACUUGAGUAUGGGAGAGGGAAGUGGAAUUCCUGGUGUAGCGGUGAAAUGCGUAGAUAUCAGGAGGAACACCGGUGGCGAAGGCGACUUCCUGGACCAAUACUGACGCUGAGGCGCGA